AUGAUUGGGACAAUUGGAAGUAUAGGCGCUACCGUCUUGACUCCAGGAGAGGUGAUGUUAUCAUUGGCAUUUCUCUUUCUGAUUAACAUGGUGUGGCAGGGGCACGAUGUCGUACAGUGGUUGAGAUGGUUCAUGUUUAGUUUACAAUUUGUUUGGUUUCUGGGCCUAGAGUACUUCUCUGUUUCUGAUCAUAACUCACUGCCCACGUGUUCUUAG
Molecule: ribosomal RNA, 216 nt
Filed under: Triticum aestivum (bread wheat)
Lineage: Eukaryota; Viridiplantae; Streptophyta; Magnoliopsida; Poales; Poaceae
Description: partial small subunit ribosomal RNA
Source: RNAcentral